RNAcentral lists this long non-coding RNA (400 nucleotides) under Gallus gallus (chicken). Its description in RNAcentral is "lncRNA (ENSGALG00010002777.1)". Lineage: Eukaryota; Metazoa; Chordata; Aves; Galliformes; Phasianidae. The record is from RNAcentral.
UCCAAGUGAGUGUCAGCAUGCCCAGAUUUGGAGCUUAAGGGAAAGUUUGAAAGCGAACAGAGAUCGGUGCCAGAAGGGUGGUGUCAUGGAGGUGAUCCGGCCUUGCUGCUCAGGUCCCUGCAGGGCUGCAUUGCUGGGCUCGCUGUGUGCAUCACAAAUGGGGCUCCUCAGAGCCAGCUGAGUGCUGUCAGCAGUGGGAACCUUCUCACCUGCCUUCACCUGUUUAAAUUCAAGUCAGUGUUUCAUCUGGCUUUAGAAUCGCAGAACUGUUCAGUCUGGAAAAGCCCUGUGAGACCCCCAACCCACCCCCCCCCCCCCCCUCCGUGCCCACUGCCCACCCCUCAGUGCCACAUCCCCGCGGCUCUGAACACCUCCAUGGACGGGGACUGCCCACCCCCGG